This 31-nucleotide non-coding RNA is filed under the name Homo sapiens (human). Lineage: Eukaryota; Metazoa; Chordata; Mammalia; Primates; Hominidae. The record is from RNAcentral.
UCCACUGGAAUAAAGUCUCUUUCCUCCAAAU